This is a long non-coding RNA of Hordeum vulgare subsp. vulgare (domesticated barley), 3311 nucleotides long. RefSeq lists it as uncharacterized. Lineage: Eukaryota; Viridiplantae; Streptophyta; Magnoliopsida; Poales; Poaceae. The transcript is spliced from 5 exons. The record is from RefSeq and is a predicted model, not a curated record.
UUAACAUAAGGAUGUAACUGGACAUGCUCCUAUUUUAUGUCGAUUUAACUGGUUGGAAACAUUACAUUGGUGGACACUGACCACUCCGAGCCUCUCAGUAUUCAUGGAAGCUGAGUUAGAUUUAUUUUAAUUACCAUGAGGUGGACCCACACCAUCAUCCAACCUGUCAAAGUUUGUUGAUUUUUUUGUUUAACCCGCUCUCGGUCGAGGAGUAAUCUUCUAUAAGAGGAAAAUUCUGGUUUUUUUGUUCAGGUUGUUGCUUGCUUUGUUUUUGUAGCAUAAACCAGAUGGGAAUGUACUAUUUUUGGCGAGUAAUCAUGCGAUUCUAGCUAGGCUCUAUCAAUUUAAUUUAUUCCUCAGUCAUGGAUACUCUAAAGAAGAUCCACACGGUCAUUAUUGCUUUGGACACUUAUAUACAGGAAGAUGUUGACUUUGUUCACAUUUAACCUAUUUUCAUAUCUUACAGAGCAAUCCAUUCAAAUAUGGUUAAUUUCCUCUUCCUCGUAUAUUUUUACCACUAUACCACUAGCAUAAAUGUGCUUUUAUUUAGUUCCAUACUUCCAUUUUAUAUUUGAUUCAUCUAUAGUAAGCUUGGUGGGUUUGGCAUUUUGCGUCACAAUUAUGUGUGUCUGGUCAAUUAUGUGUAUCGUUUUGAUGACUCUUUGGUGUGAGACAAUGUCUUAAAAAGUUACAAGACACAUAGUAGUUCAAUGUGAACUCCCAGGAUUGUAUCUGGCACAAUUUGAUAAAAAGGCACGGUUUAGUGUGCAUCGAAAUAAUAGUUACAGAGUUUGGCCUUUUGUCUUUUUUCUCUAUAUUUUUCAUUCAGAACAUGCAGCCAGCGUGUUAUGGGUUCAGGUGAUCCUGAUGAAUUUGGUACAUUCAAAGUCCAUCUGUGAUGUCUUUGAUUUCGACAUGGUUUCCAGUUUAGGUUAGAGAAGCCUGUUAACCGUUCAAGUGUUAUAUGUGCUUGUGUGUUGGAGUUCUCUACCUAUUUGUUGGUACACUUGUGAGAAUAUUCUGUUUUUCAGGUAUCUGUUCUAGCAGAUGAUGGUUAAUGUAUGAGGGAUAGAGAUUAACGUCUUCGUAUCUAUGGUGGGCACUAGUAAUUUUGAAUUGAAAGUUUACACUUUUUUUCUAACAACCAGAAGCAUUAUUUAGGUUUUGGUCAGAAGAAAAGUGAACCUAAAGGGUGCAGUACUAUUAAUAUGAUACCAUGUAGGUUAUAGCUCAUGGAUAAUAAUGUUUCAGUCGCAGGAGAGCUUGCUGAACAGAUGAAGUUGACGUUAAAUCUUUGGUCACCUGCAAAUUUAGCUGCUUGAAGAUCAAGUUCGGCAGUAGUCAGUUUCCUGUUCGGUAGUAUUCAGUUUUGCAAUACAGUAGUGAUUUUUUAAUUUGUUAUGCUGCUGCUUACUUAGUGCAAAGUGGCACUCAAUUGUGUCCAAACGAAUUUUAUUUGUAAUUGUAAGGAUGUUUUUUAUUAUGCGAGAUAUUUCACAGAAGAAUCUAUUUAUUAUAUCACUUUAUUAUUCUGUUGUUACCAAAAUAUUCAUAGCGUAUAGAAUGAAUUGCCUUUGUUUCUUUUGCCUACCAAAAAUGCAUCCCACGGAAUCGUGAUAAUGGCCGAUGUUACUUAAAUCAUUUCCAUAUUUCAUUUUUACAAGGGACCUGGUGUAAUCAGUCCAAUAGAGCUAGUAAAAGAACUAACAAAAAAUACUCCCUCCGUCCGAAAAAAGCUGUCCCCGGCGAAAUUUUACGAAAACCCCCUCCCCCUUCCUCCGACAACGUCACAACCCUCCGCUCCUGCUCGGUCGCCUCGCCACGCGCGAGCCGCUUGCUCCGUCGCCUCGCCACGCACACCGACGAGGGCACCGGCCGCUUGCUCCGUCGCCCCGUCUCGCCGCCGUCUCCAUCGCCUUGCCGACCGUCGACCGCCUUCCCCCGCUCGUCUCGCCUCUUCUCUUAUUCCUCACCAGGAGCUCAAGAUGGAAGGAGUCCCAUUUUCUUCAAGCUCGCGAUUUGCCGGCUCCGGCGACGGCGCUGCCCCGUGCAUCCUCCGGCUCCGGCGAGGCUCCGAUCCACUACGCGGCUCUGCAGCUCGCUCGUGUAUGGAGGGGCUAGUCGUAAGGUGUUUGGCUGAAUGCGCAGCACAAGGAUGCGGAGGUGGCGCCCCUGACGAAGGAGGAGGUUGGCCGGGCGACCUGGAUGCUGCUCCACACCAUCGCCGUGCAGCGGCACAAAUCCUCACCUGCCCGUCGAUUUGGUGCUAGCAGCGGCGCAAAUCCUCACCUGGCCGUCGAUUCGCCGCCAUUGUGAGGGUAGUGCACGAGGAGCAAAAUUCCAUGUUGGCAGGAGGAGAGCAGGGAAGAGCAAAAUCUCACCUUUCUUUUUCUGGCGGAGAUGAGGCGGCGCCUUCAUAGUCCAGGAACUGCUCUACAACGGCAACUAUGUGGUCGAUGAGCUUGAUCACUACAGGCUCCAGCAGAAGCUCCAACCAGAGGAGGCAAUGACAGCUGCCACUGCUGCCAAUCAACAGAAGAGGUGAGGACAGCCUGGGGCGGCGCUGGGUGAGGUGACGAGGUAGGAGCGGAGGGUGCUUGCUGCUGCCGAGGUACUUGGAGUUGACGCGGGGGGAAAAGAACCAUCGGGGAGUCGUCAGAAUUGAUGACGAAGCGGACCGACAAGUCCCAUGGCUCCACCGCUACCAACUACACUGUCGGGAUGGCCGGGGCCGGAGAAGGGGAGGAGGACGAAGCAGAGCGGGCGGGGCGUGAUUAACAGGGGCGGCGAGGCGGGCUCACGGGCGGUGCAGAUUGAAGCGGCGGCGCAGGUGGGUGCGUAGGGCGCUGGCCGUGCGGCGGCUGUCGGCGAUGGCUCGAGCUCGUUCCUGCAGCGGGCAAUGGUGGAAGGAAGAAGAGGCAGGGGUGAUUUGCAGGGAUUUUAAGAUCGUAAGGUUUUUUUUGCAACAACGAAAAUGAACUAAGCGUUGGACAACUUUUCUCGGACGGAGGGAGUAUGAAAUAAGGAUGCAGUCUUAAAUCUAGAAUUAAGAACGCCGUAAGAUUACUUGAGUGGCUGUAAAACUAAAUCAAGAUGCGCCAGAUUCGUUCCUCGCCUAAAGGGAGUAAUUCACUCACAUGGAAACUCUAAGAUUACCUUGCACUUAUUCUGUCUACGGUUCGUUCGGUACGACGACUGGUUCCUCGUUCCAGCCGUAAUAUUACCUCACAAGUGUGUUUUUUCUUACAGAUUAUGGAUCUGAGUGUUGAACCGUUGUUGUAUACUUGCAUGUAAUACUUAUCUCUUCGUCA